This 789-nucleotide ribosomal RNA is filed under the name uncultured bacterium. RNAcentral's name for it is "bacterial SSU rRNA". It matches the Rfam family "Bacterial small subunit ribosomal RNA", at positions 8 to 794 of the family's 1533-position model. The record is from RNAcentral.
AGAGUUUGAUCAUGGCUCAGAUUGAACGCUGGCGGCAUGCCUUACACAUGCAAGUCGGACGGUAACGGGCCUUCGGGUGCCGACGAGUGGCGAACGGGUGAGUAAUAUAUCGGAACGUGCCCAAUCGUGGGGGAUAGCCCGGCGAAAGCCGGAUUAAUACCGCAUACGACCUGAGGGUGAAAGCGGGGGAUCUUCGGACCUCGCGCGAUUGGAUCGGCCGAUAUCAGAUUAGGUAGUUGGUGGGGUAAAGGCUUACCAAGCCUACGAUCUGUAGCUGGUCUGAGAGGACGACCAGCCACACUGGGACUGAGACACGGCCCAGACUCCUACGGGAGGCAGCAGUGGGGAAUUUUGGACAAUGGGCGCAAGCCUGAUCCAGCCAUGCCGCGUGCAGGAAGAAGGCCUUCGGGUUGUAAACUGCUUUUGUCAGAGAAGAAAUCUUCUGGGUUAAUACCCUGGGAGGAUGACGGUAUCUGAAGAAUAAGCACCGGCUAACUACGUGCCAGCAGCCGCGGUAAUACGUAGGGUGCGAGCGUUAAUCGGAAUUACUGGGCGUAAAGCGUGCGCAGGCGGCUUUGCAAGACAGAUGUGAAAUCCCCGGGCUUAACCUGGGAACUGCAUUUGUGACUGCAAGGCUAGAGUACGGCAGAGGGGGAUGGAAUUCCGCGUGUAGCAGUGAAAUGCGUAGAUAUGCGGAGGAACACCGAUGGCGAAGGCAGUCCCCUGGGCCUGUACUGACGCUCAUGCACGAAAGCGUGGGGAGCAAACAGGAUUAGAUACCCCGGUAGU